ACACCGGUGAGGGAGCCUGAGAAACGGCUACCACAUCCAAGGAUGGCAGCAGGCGCGCAAAUUACCCAAUCCCGACACGGGGAGGUAGUGACAAUAAAUAACAAUACGGGGUUCUUUCGGAUCUCGUAAUUGGAAUGAGUACAAUUUAAAUCUCUUAACGAGGAACAAUUGGAGGGCAAGUCUGGUGCCAGCAGCCGCGGUAAUUCCAGCUCCAAUAGCGUAUAUUAAAGUUGUUGCAGUUAAAAAGCUCGUAGUUGAAUUUCGGGGUUAGUAGGUUGGUCAUGCCUCUGGUAUGUACUGGUCUCACUGAUUCCUCCUUCCUUAUGAACCGUAAUGCCAUUAAUUUGGUGUUGCGGGGAAUUUGGACUGUUACUUUGAAAAAAUUAGAGUGUUUAAAGCAGGCCAACGCUUGAAUACAUUAGCAUGGAAUAAUGAAAUAGGACGUUCGAUCUUAUUUUGUUGGUUUCUAGGAUUGACGUAAUGAUUAAUAGGGAUAGUUGGGGGCAUUAGUAUUCAAUUGUCAGAGGUGAAAUUCUUGGAUUUAUUGAAGACUAACUACUGCGAAAGCAUUUGCCAAGGAUGUUUUCAUUAAUCAAGAACGAAAGUUAGGGGAUCGAAGACGAUCAGAUACCGUCGUAGUCUUAACCAUAAACUAUGCCGACUAGGGAUCGGAUGAUGUUAAUUUUUUAAUGACUCAUUCGGCGCCUUACGGGAAACA
RNAcentral lists this ribosomal RNA (718 nucleotides) under uncultured fungus. RNAcentral describes it as "SSU rRNA". It matches the Rfam family "Eukaryotic small subunit ribosomal RNA", at positions 380 to 1099 of the family's 1831-position model. The record is from RNAcentral. Lineage: Eukaryota; Fungi.